AAGAGUUUGAUCAUGGCUCAGGACGAACGCUGGCGGCGUGCUUAACACAUGCAAGUCGAACGGUGAACCAGAGCUUGCUCUGGGGAUCAGUGGCGAACGGGUGAGUAACACGUGGGCAACCUGCCCCAGACUCUGGGAUAACCUCGGGAAACCGAUGCUAAUACCGGAUACGACCACUUCGGACAUCCGACGGUGGUGGAAAGUUUUCGGUCUGGGAUGGGCCCGCGGCCUAUCAGCUAGUUGGUGGGGUAAUGGCCUACCAAGGCGACGACGGGUAGCCGGCCUGAGAGGGCGACCGGCCACACUGGAACUGAGACACGGUCCAGACUCCUACGGGAGGCAGCAGUGGGGAAUAUUGCACAAUGGGCGAAAGCCUGAUGCAGCGACGCCGCGUGAGGGACGACGGCCUUCGGGUUGUAAACCUCUUUCAGCAGGGACGAAGCGAAAGUGACUGUACCUGCAGAAGAAGCACCGACUAACUACGUG
This 486-nucleotide ribosomal RNA is filed under the name uncultured bacterium. RNAcentral's name for it is "bacterial SSU rRNA". It matches the Rfam family "Bacterial small subunit ribosomal RNA", at positions 1 to 507 of the family's 1533-position model. The record is from RNAcentral.